Rattus norvegicus (Norway rat) is the source of this 5199-nucleotide RNA transcript. It is a transcript of the gene named mitochondrial inner membrane subdomain organizer 1, with no coding region annotated. The record is from RefSeq and is marked validated. Lineage: Eukaryota; Metazoa; Chordata; Mammalia; Rodentia; Muridae.
GCGCCCCCUGCUGCCCACCAGGGGGAACCCGCUGGACGCCGGAACAUGGCGCCGCUGCCCGCGAGCCUCGGGUCGCAGGCUUCCGACCGCGACCGAGGGGAGGCCAACGUGGUAACGCGGAUGUCGCAGUGGGCGGACAACCAUCUGCGUCUUGUCCAGAACAUCAGCACUGGAAUGGCCAUAGCUGGGAUAGUGUUACUAAUAAGGAGCGUUCGGCUGACGUCAAAAUUUACAACCUCCUCAGAUAUUCCAGUAGAAUUUAUAAGAAAGAAAGUUAAACUACGUGGCCGAUUACAGCGGAUAACUGAGUGUGGUCUAGAAAUUGAACAUGUACCUAUUACUUUACCUUUCAUAUCUUCAUGGAAACAAGAGCCGUGUGGAGUUUUGUUGGUUAAAUUGGCUGGAGUAGAACUCACUGAAGCCGGUAAGGUGUGGCUACAGAAAGAACUGAGACCUUCCCAGCUCCUGUGGUUCCAGCUCCUUGGAAAGGAGAAUUCAGAACUCUUUUGCUACCUCUUAGUGAACAAGGGUGGAUAUUUUAAUGUGAAUCUGAAUGAGGAGAUUUUGAGAAGAGGCUUGGGCAAAACCGUUCUUGUUAAAGGGCUAAAUUACGACUCAAAAACCCACUGGAAAAUUCACAGAAAGUUGCUUAAAGCUGAAUUGACAGCCUUAAAGAAAGGAGAAGGAAUCUGGAAGGAAGAGUCUGAAAAAGAAAGUUAUUUUAGAAAAUUGAAAGAUUCCUGGAGGGAGAGAUGGACAAAGGACAAUGAUUUAAAAACAGCCGGACCGGGUCUCAGCGCCACCAAAGAGGGUCAUUACGACAGGUUUCGCAGGGCUUACGGAAGCUGGAAGGACAACAUGGGCAACUACUCUUUAGUUCUGAAACUCAGAGAAUUCGUGAGCCGCUUACACUUUCGGAGGAAAGGAUGAACCUCCAUGAAGUCUGGAGUGGCUCUCCCUGAAGAGUGCCCUGGAGCUGUGAGAGCACUUUUCAUUUGACUCAAAAUGGGAAUUACCUCAGAUAAGAGGAUUGCCCUUAAGACAAAGAUGAGAAGGACAACCCAGAGGACAGAAAGGAAGGAUCUUUAGGACAUCACGGAGCCCCUGAACUCACCAAUUCUUGAACUACCCUGCCUUCCAACUCCUAAGUACCCAAGAGAGUAAACUGCUUUGACAGUAAGCUAUCAUCCAGCAUACUGAGGACCAGUGGCUGACCGAACCUAACCUGCUUCAGUUGCCAGAAACCAGGAACAGAUCACCGUGUCCAACUGUUUGCUGGCUUGUUGAGACAGCAGAUCAUGUAUCCCCGGCUGGCCUAGAACUUGGUAUAUUUCUUCGAAUGACUUUGGACUUCUGAGUUUCCUGUCUCCACUCCUGAAUAGAAGAUUACAGGCAUGCACCACCAGGCCCAAUAUUUUACUUCUUGCCUGUGAAAUAUUGACAACAGCAUCAACUUUAUUAUGAUUAAUGGUGAUCAAAGUAAAAGAGAAACACCCAAGAACACAAAAUGUACAUGUAUACAUGAUCCAGAACUGCCAGUUCUGGGCUACUAGAUGCAUAUUCCCAUAGGACACCCAGAUGAUCUUUUCCUUUUCUGUUAGAAAGCUAUCCAGUGGGGUUGGGGAUUUAGCUCAGUGGUAGAGCGCUUGCCUAGGAAGCUCAAGGCCCUGGGUUCGGUCCCCAGCUCUGAAAAAAAAAAAAGAACCAAAAAAAAAAAAAGCUAUCCAGUAUGUGUGUUUGUGUGCAUACACAUUAGAGAGAGAGGGAGGAAGAGAGGAAGAGAGAGAGAGAGAGAGAGAGAGAGAGAGAGAGAGAGAGAGAACAAGAACAUACUAUUAUAUGUGGAGGCUACAGGACAACCUGUGGGAGUCCAUUCUGUCCUUCUAUCAUGUGGAUUACAACUUAAAGCACAUAGAGAUACACAGGGAAUGAGAUGCUCCCAAGUGUGAGCAUGGACUCUUCAAGGGAGAAUGCCUUAGCAUUGACAUAUAUACUAUUCUGGUGACUAAUGGGUUAUAUCUCAAAGGUUGCUAAGAACACCCCACCCCAUAUUCUAUCCUUUUUAAAUAAAUGAGAUUAUAGGGUGGCCCCAGAGGUGCCUUAGAAUUGUAUCUCCAUAGGUAAAACUGGAAGCCAAUUGUGUUGCACAAGGCAAGUUUUUGUGAGGUUUUCAUAUGGGAAGGCACCAAGGCCUUAAACAGUUAAUUGCUUAUUGAAAUUCUUUCUUGUCAGCUGAUGAACAGGUUCAGCCAGACUCUGGGGCAAAGAGCAACUUUGUCUUCGACAAUUGAACCUGAGUCUGUCUAUCCUGCUUUAUCAAGACUGUCUUAAAACAAAAAGACAAAGGUCUGUCUGUGCCCUGAGCUGACCCUGAGCCACAACCCCUGAUGCUCAAAUACCGCUGGGAGAGAAAUGGUCUCCCAGAAGUGCUGACACACUGGAGAGCACAGGUGGAACCAACACUUCUGUUCUGAGACACCCACCUGGAAACCUCAGGAUCCAGGAGCCAAGGAGCAGUCUGGGACAGGAUCCUUCCAGUUAACAUCUGCACCUGGAGCUGAACCUGAGCCACAGCCCUCUGUGCCUGUGUCCUACUGGGAGAGAGCUCAACUUCCAGGAGUGCUGACACACCUGAGAGUGCAGAAGGGCCAAGCCACUGUCAAAGACAGCAAGACCAGCUAACACCAGAGAUAACCAGAUGGUGAGAGGAAAGUGCAAGAACAUAACCAACAGAAACCAAAGCCACUUGGCAUCUUCAGAACCCAGUUCUCCCACCACAGCAAGUCCAGGAUACCCGAACACAGCAGAAAAGCAAGAUUCUGAUUUAAAAUCACAUCUCAUGAUGAUGUUAGAGGACUUUAAGACAAACAUAAAUAACUCCCUUAAAGAAAUACAAGACAACACAGGUAAACAGGUAGAAAACCUUAAAGAGGAAACACAAAAAUCCCUUAAAGAAUUACAGGAAAAGAUAAUCAAACAGGUUAAGGAAUUGAACAAAACCAUCCAGGAUCUAAAAAUGCAAAUAGAAACAAUAAACAAAUUCAAAGGGGGACAAAACUGGAGAUAGAAAUGCUAGGAAAGAGAUCAGGAGUCAUAGAUGCAAGCAUCACCAACAAAAUAAAAGAGAUAGAAGAGAGAAUAUCAGGGGCAGAAGAUAGUAUGUUUAUUCUGGAGGAAAAAAAUGAACCUCGUUUUCCUAAUAAAGCCUCAGUUUUAUCCCAAGCACCUUCUCCCCCAAAUUCAUGAAUGAAAGUAUGAAAUGAACCUUUUUUUUCUUUUUUGGUUAGAAUCUCUUUUUCUUUUAUGUUUGUUGUUUUUGAGACAGGUCUCACUGCUGAGUAGCCAUAGCUGGCUUGGAAGUCACUAUGUAGACAAAACUGGCCUUGAACUCACAGAGAGCCACCUUACUCUGCCUCCAGAGUUCUAGGAUUAAAAGCACAUGCCACUGUAUCUGGGCUCUUUUUAUUUUUUAAUUCAUUUUUAACUCUCUACUAUCUCUAUCUCUCUCUCUCUCUCUCUCUCUCUCUCUCUCUCUCUCUCUCUGAAUGAAUCUGUGCACUUGAGUCUCAAAGGUACCUGUGGAGACCAGAAGAAAGUAUGGAUCCUCCAGUGCUUGAGUUAAAAUAGUUGUGAACCACUGGAUAUGGGUGCUGAGAACAAACUUGGUUCCUAAGACUCCAGCCCUCACUCUUAACUGCUGAGUCAUGUCAGUAGCCCCGAGGAACCUAUUUUUCUUAUGUAAGUCUCCUCUUUAAAUUCCAUGAUGCUAAACACUGAAGAUUGAAGAUUGGUUUUCCUUAAAUGGUCUGAAAGUUUUCUUUAAGUGGUCAUUUAAGGAAAACCAUGGUGAGUUUAAACUAUCAUUUACUUCACUUCUUCCCCAGCAUGUUUGAGGCCCUGGGUUUCUGCUUUCAAACCAGAAAAUAAGGCGGGGGGGGGGGGAACUAAUGUAAAUAAAUAAAACUGACACAUGGUUUCUUCUUUCUUUCUCUCUUUUUUAAACAGCACUUUCACCUUUACUAUGUUUGUGUGGGAAAAUCUGACCAUUUGCUUUUUUGGUUAAGGAAACAAAGCAAAAGAGGUGUUGGUUAAUAAAAGGCACACCCUCCUUGAAUUCCAAAUGUAAGGGAAAUAGAAAGGGUUUCCUUGUGUUACAUCAACUGCUUCCCAUAGCUUUUCAAAACUUUACAUUUCCAUUCUGUUUUAGUACUUUCUUCAUUGUCUUUCAACAUUUAUUUCAGUUUUUCAUUGCUAUCUGUAAUCAAGGUACCACAGAAUUGACACAGUGUAUUCCAUGACAGAAUAUGUAGUUACAAAGUUUCAACAUUUGUUAUUCUGAAUACUGUACCUCCUCUAGACAUCUUGUCUAGCCCCAAGAGCAGAGACUGCCUCUGUGGGAGGGCUUUCUGAAAACAAAAAGCCCAGAGGACCUUUCUGAGGUCCCUUGCAGAAAGGGUUCUGUUCUUCUCAGACACUUUUGUUUCCUGUAAAAUACUCCAGUCCUUCCAGGAGGAGGGGGAAAAGAAGAGGGGAAAGGAGAGUUCACUUUUUUAGCAUAUAUUUUUACUAGAAUCUUAUGAAAAGUAUAGCUGAAUUUAAGAAAAGUUGGAGUUCAAUUGAACUUACUUUCAGCAAAACCUACUAUUUUGUCUUUUUCCAGUAGUCAUAGGACACACUGUUUUACCAAGACAAGAAAAUGAAGCUAGAGGGUCAGGCCCCAGUCCAGGCACAAGUCUUUAAUUCCACUACUGUGGAGACAACAUGAUCCCUCUAAACUAGAGGCUCAUCACAUCUACAGAGGGAGUUGAGACCAUCCAUCCAGGGAUAGACGGGGAGAUUCUCUAAGACCUUGAGUUCAAUCUGUAGAACCACUGUGGAAACAGGGAAAAGACUCCUGAAAGUUGCUCUCUGACCUGCACAUGCCCCUGUGGUGUGCUGGUGACUCAUGAGUUAAUUAAUAACACUUCCUAUUCUUUUAGCAGACACAAAUUUGGUUUCUGCCACCCACAUCGAACAACUGCCAUGUUGGUGUGGAAAACUUCUGUUUUGUGUUUUUCCUUCCUUGUUCUUCAAAGGCAUUUUCACAAUUCACAAGAGUCAAAGAGUAUAAUGAAUCUCCUGUCUUUUCUUCAUAUUUAAAAUGUGAAAUGCAUAUUUGCAUAUGAAUAAUAAAAUAAUUUGGACAUUGCCAUAUAAAAA